CUGGAGCCGAGCUUCCUGAUACCUAGUGAGCCGCGGUGAUGACAAAUGAAAACAAUAAGCUGUUUCCUAGACAAACAGCUGCCUAGUGGAAAUGAUUCUCAAAAAGAUGAAGAAAUUCAGUCUUCUAUAUGGCGAAUUUCUGCCUCAGAGAGUGAGAUUUGUUCAUUGCAAAGAGCAGCUGUUCCCUUAACCCUUAUCAAUGCUUAAGAUGGAAGAUGUUGCUUCUCAUUCCAUUAGAGUUGCCCAGUUUCGCUCUGUCGCCCAGGCUGGAGUGCAGUGGCACAAUCUCGGUUCACUGCAACCUCUGCCUCCCGGGUUCAAGCAGUUCUCUUGCCUCAGCCUCCCAAGUAACUGGUACUACAGUUUGUCCUCGGCUGUUACAGAGAAUUGAUACAAAAAAUGAUCAUGUGAAGAAUUUGCAUCUUCUGCAGAACUACCGGUAUCAGUCAGCAGUAGGAGAUUGCCAGACACGGUGGCUCACGCCUAUAAUCCUAGCACUUUGGGAGGCUGAGGUGUGUGGAUCACUUGAGCCCAGGAGUUCAAGACCAGCCUGAGCAACAUGGUGAAACCCCAUCUCUGCAAAAAAUACAAAAAUUAGCCAGGCGUGGUGGUGUGUACCUGUGGUCCCAGCUGCUGGGAAGGCUGAGGUGGGAGGAACAUUUGAGCCCAGAAGUUGAGCCGUGAUCACGCCACUGCACUCCAGCCUGGAUGACACAGCAAGACCUUGUCUCAAAAAAUAAAAUAAAAUAAAUUUUAAAAAA
RNAcentral lists this long non-coding RNA (761 nucleotides) under Homo sapiens (human). Its description in RNAcentral is "HSALNT0301441". Lineage: Eukaryota; Metazoa; Chordata; Mammalia; Primates; Hominidae. The record is from RNAcentral.